GCUCAGUAGUAACUAAUAAUUGUGUAGCAAUGCAUUUUUUAUUAACAUUUCAAUGUUGAAAGCUUCUUAUACAUUAUUUUUAGACAUGUUUUAUAUAGCUUCUUGCAUGAGUGGAUCAAAAAAUUUAAGAUGGCUAAACUACGGGAUAUAAGAAAUGUAGGCCUAUCAGUAAGCCCAAGUAGGUAUGAAAAAAAUGAAGAUUUUUAUGAACUAUUUUGUGUAAGUGUGGAUCCAAAGCAAUCCACACUUGUGAAAGUGUGGAUCCGAACACUUUCUCUGAUGAGAAAUGAAUUAAACAUUCAAAUGAACUGUCAUGACAACUGUGCGCUUCCUACAUUCUAGGACCAAUUGAAGGACAUAGUAGGUACUUGUAGUAGAAUGGUGUAAAUGAUUCUGAUGUGUCACAUUAAAGACACACUAUAGCAUUCUACCAUCAGCUUUGACAUUUAUCUGCCCAGGGUCAUGACUUGCUCCUCUGGUUAAAGAUUAUUUUUCUCCUUCUCAGCAUGUACACAUGGUUGCGUGCAUACUUUUCUCUCAGUUACAGAUAUUCGAAUCAGAAUCUUGCCUUUGAAAUGUUAACUGCAUGUUUUAUUCAACCUAUCUUCUUAGUUUUCUUCAGGAUAUUUCUGUCAUGUUGUUGUCCUGACAAAAGAAAUGCACCCCUAAAUCUAAACUCAUUAUUUUUAAAGCAAAGCACUAAGAUUCAGCUUGAUACUAACUCUGAGUGUAUGGUUAGAUUUAUCAUAUUUAUAUAUAAUUGAUUUUAUGUCCCUUUUGCCUUCCAGAUUCUCUUCAGCAAUAUCAUCACUUGAAGCCUAAGGUUGAAAUGAAAAAGUGUGUUUCGAACCAGGCAGUCGGAAUGAAAGAUGUACAAGCAUGCACAUCAGCUUUUUCAGCUUUGGAUUUUAAUAGUUUGACCUUCAGUAAUGAGCUUCAUGAAAGAUCUGAGAAUUUGAAAGUUGGUGAUCUAUGUCCAUUUGUGUCUCCACCAAUGACCAACACUGUGUUGGGAUCCACAGACUUGGGGAAGAUGAACUUAAUAGAUCAAGAAAAGAUGACCACUGCAGCUGCAUUUCUAUUUUGGAAUCACACUCUCCGUGACCUGUGUGAGUCACAGCUACCAGAAAACAAAGACAGCAAAAAAGAGAGAACAGGAAAUGAGAA
Molecule: long non-coding RNA, 1167 nt
Filed under: Pan troglodytes (chimpanzee)
Lineage: Eukaryota; Metazoa; Chordata; Mammalia; Primates; Hominidae
Description: long non-coding RNA NONPTRT004232
Source: RNAcentral